Molecule: ribosomal RNA, 1023 nt
Filed under: Triticum aestivum (bread wheat)
Lineage: Eukaryota; Viridiplantae; Streptophyta; Magnoliopsida; Poales; Poaceae
Description: partial small subunit ribosomal RNA
Source: RNAcentral
AUGAGGAUGCGCUCACGCGCUCUGCUCGUCCUCCUCCUCUGCUCUCUCCUCGCCGGCGCGGCCAACGCCGAGCCCUCUCCGGACCCGACGUACAAGGACUGCCACCCAGGCGACAAGGCGGCGCUGCUCGCCGUCAAGGCCGCCCUCGGGAACGCCUACCACUUCGCGUCGUGGACGCCCGACAACCCCUGCUGCGACUGGUACGACGUCACCUGCGACCACUUCACCGGGCGCGUCGUCGGCCUCGCCGUCUUCCAGGACGCCAACCUCACGGGCACCAUCCCCACCGCCCUCGCCGGCCUCCCACACCUGCAGGACCUCACCCUGCGCCACCUCCCGGCGCUCUCGGGCCCUAUACCGCCGGCCAUCGGCAAGCUCUCCAACCUCUCGAGCCUUCGCAUCUCCUGGACAGCCGUGUCGGGCCCCGUGCCGUCCUUCCUGGGCGCGCUCAAGAAGCUCACCUUCCUUGAGCUCUCCUUCAACUCGCUCACCGGCGCCAUCCCGGCGUCGUUGGGGACCAUCCCCAACCUGUCCGGCAUCAACCUCAGCCGCAACCGCCUCACCGGCGCCAUCCCCUCGAUGUUCCUCAGCAAGUCUGCGGACGAGGUCUACCUCUGGCUGUCGCACAACAACCUCACGGGACCAGUCCCGGCCGGGUUCGCCGCCGUGAACUUUGCGCACCUCGACCUGUCGCGCAACGACCUGACCGGCGACGCGUCAGGCCUCUUUGGCCGCGGGAAGGAGUUGCAGUACAUCGACCUGUCCCGCAACGCCUUCGAUUUCGACCUCUCGGGCGUGGUGCUCCCGGAGCAGCUCUACUUCGUCGACGUGAGCCACAAUGCCAUCCAUGGCAGCAUCCCGGCGCAGGUCGCCAACUUGUCCAAUCUGCAGUUCUUCAACGUCAGCUACAACAGGCUCUGCGGCCCUAUACCCACCGGCGGGAACACGGCGAGGUUCGAUCUCUACAACUUUCAGCAUAACAAGUGCCUCUGCGGUGCUCCACUCCCUGCAUGCAAGAAAUAG